UACGGAGGGAGCUAGCGUUAUUCGGAAUUACUGGGCGUAAAGCGCACGUAGGCGGCUUUGUAAGUCAGAGGUGAAAGCCUGGAGCUCAACUCCAGAACUGCCUUUGAUACUGGCGAGCUUGAGUUCGGGAGAGGUGAGUGGAACUGCGAGUGUAGAGGUGAAAUUCGUAGAUAUUCGCAAGAACACCAGUGGCGAAGGCGGCUCACUGGCCCGAUACUGACGCUGAGGUGCGAAAGCGUGGGGAGCAAACAGG
This 253-nucleotide ribosomal RNA is filed under the name uncultured bacterium. RNAcentral describes it as "partial 16S ribosomal RNA". It matches the Rfam family "Bacterial small subunit ribosomal RNA", at positions 524 to 776 of the family's 1533-position model. The record is from RNAcentral.